UCGGAAGGACUGACAGUGGGCUAGCU
This 26-nucleotide non-coding RNA is filed under the name Mus musculus (house mouse). Lineage: Eukaryota; Metazoa; Chordata; Mammalia; Rodentia; Muridae. The record is from RNAcentral.